AAAGAGAUCGAACCGCUGCAGUUCGACGGGGCCUGUCGAACAGGGCAGUUCGACAGGCCCCUGUCGAAUACCACCAGUUCGACUGGCUC
This 89-nucleotide microRNA precursor is filed under the name Oryza glaberrima (African rice). RNAcentral describes it as "pre miRNA MIR439". The record is from RNAcentral. Lineage: Eukaryota; Viridiplantae; Streptophyta; Magnoliopsida; Poales; Poaceae.